GUAUGGGACCUAACUGUAGCAAGACGUGUGAAGAACGACACUGCGGCAAUGUUUCUGCAUCUUGUGAUAUACAGAAUGGGUCUUGCGAUGGAGGAUGUCAAGCAGGCUGGAGUGGAACUGACUGUACUCAGGCAUGCAGGCGAGGUUUCACGUAUGGUCCUAACUGUGACAUGUUAUGCAGAGCGCGACACUGUGUUUCUUCAAAGAUGCAUUCAUGUCAUGCAGGUACUGGAUCCUGUCUUGGAAGAUGUGAGCCAGGAUGGAAGGGGUUCGACUGAACACAAGCAUGUCAGAGAGGAGUGACAUAUGGUUCUAACUGUAGACAUCUAUGUGCUGAACGUAGCUGUUUGAAAAGCUCAACAUGUGAGGUGACCACGGGGAUGUGCAUCGGGGGUUGUCAGCCGGGCUGGAGACACGCAGACUGUUCUGAAGAAUGUGACAGGACAUAUGGUGUGAACUGUAGUCUAGGUUAUAGCCAGAGAAACUGUAAGAAAGACAACUCUCCGUGUGAUCAUCUGACUGGAGCGUGUGUUGGUGGAUGUAAAGCUGGAUGGAAAAGCAUAACAUGCACUGAAAAAUUAUUCUGAGAACUCGAUCAAAAGUCGCAAAAUCGACUAUAACCUCCUUCACUGUAAAAUUGUGAUAACGAAAAGCAAACCACUACAGUGCCAGUGCCUGCUUCAGAUGCAGUUUAUGAUGUUUGCGCCGAUAAAGGCGUUGGCAUUUCUCAAGAUGAACAACCUAAGGGCUUCCGUAAGCAAACCGAACCAGCAUCUCCAGCAGAACCUGAUUACCAGAACACACCACGGAUGGCAGAAGACAACAAACCAGAGACGAACACGUACGAGGUGCUGUAUGUGGACGCCACUGACAAGCUAUCUACAUACGAAAAGAUACUUGUUUAAAUAAAUAUGCUUUAAUUGGACGACUUCCGGAUGUGCCGGAGGUACAACAGUCUAUCUAAAUAAUUUGACGAAACUUUGACGAGAUAAAAACGUUUGAUUGUAUUUUUGUCCGUUUUCUUAAAGAAUUCUAGAAAACGUCUGCAAUGACACCCACAAAUGACUAUUUAAAUCAUAUUGCUAACAUUUUAGAUGCCACUGUUUUCCUCCUAAAGUUGACUUCCUUGAAAGUAAAUCUAUUACAUUAAGUAACUUUUCAAAAAUGGCAUCUGCAGGUAAGGAGCCAACAGCGGUUGUGUUGGUAAAAAAUAACGUUAACGUGAAAUUGACAGCGUCAAACAUUGUGGAUGUUAGUGCCAAAAUAUGCACAUACCUUUAUAUUACAGGUACGCCUAGUUAAAUUACUUGUUUGCAUGUUUUGUUUUGG
This is a long non-coding RNA of Gigantopelta aegis, 1329 nucleotides long. RefSeq lists it as uncharacterized. Lineage: Eukaryota; Metazoa; Mollusca; Gastropoda; Neomphalida; Peltospiridae. The transcript has 5 exons. The record is from RefSeq and is a predicted model, not a curated record.